This 497-nucleotide ribosomal RNA is filed under the name uncultured bacterium. RNAcentral's name for it is "partial 16S ribosomal RNA". It matches the Rfam family "Bacterial small subunit ribosomal RNA", at positions 28 to 507 of the family's 1533-position model. The record is from RNAcentral.
GACGAACGCUGGCGGCGUGCCUAAUACAUGCAAGUCGAGCGCUGACGGUUGGUACUUGUACCCACUGGAUGAGCAGCGAACGGGUGAGUAACGCGUGGGGAAUCUGCCUCUGAGCGGGGGACAACAUUUGGAAACGAAUGCUAAUACCGCAUAAAAACUUUAAACACAAGUUUCAAGUUUGAAAGAUGCAAUUGCAUCACUCAAAGAUCAUCCCGCGUUGUAUUAGCUAGUUGGUGAGGUAAAGGCUCACCAAGGCGAUGAUACAUAGCCGACCUGAGAGGGUGAUCGGCCACAUUGGGAAUGAGACACGGCCCAAACUCCUGCGGGAGGGAGCAGGAGGGAAUCAUCGGAAAAGGACGAAAGUCUGACCGAGGAACGCCGGGUGAGGGGAGAAGGUUUUCGGAUCGUAAAACUCUGUUGGUAGAGAAGAACGUUGGUGAGAGUGGAAAGCUCAUCAAGUGACGGUAACUACCCAGAAAGGGACGGCUAACUACGUG